GCCUCUACAGGUGUUGCAUGGCUGUCGUCAGCUCGUGUCGUGAGAUGUUCGGUUAAGUCCGCUAACGAGCGCAACCCUCGCUGUGUGUUACAAGUGUCACACGGUACUGCCGAUAUUAAGUCGGAGGAAGGUGGGGAUGACGUCAAGUCAGCAUGACCUUUAUAUCCAGGGCUACACACACACUACAAUGGCCAGUACAAUGGGUUGCCAAGCCGCGAGGCGGAGCCAAUCCUAAAAAGCCAACCUCAGUUCGGAUUGCAGUCUGCAACUCGACUGCAUGAAGUUGGAAUCGCUAGUAAUCGCUGAUCAGCAGGCAGCGGUGAAUACGUUCCCGGGCCUU
Molecule: ribosomal RNA, 340 nt
Filed under: uncultured Anaerolineaceae bacterium
Lineage: Bacteria; Bacillati; Chloroflexota; Anaerolineae; Anaerolineales; Anaerolineaceae
Description: bacterial SSU rRNA
Rfam family: Bacterial small subunit ribosomal RNA
Source: RNAcentral